AUUGAACGCUGGCAGCAUGCUUUACACAUGCAAGUCGAACGGUAACAGGCCGCAAGGUGCUGACGAGUGGCGAACGGGUGAGUAAUGCAUCGGAACGUGCCCAGUCGUGGGGGAUAACGCAGCGAAAGCUGUGCUAAUACCGCAUACGAUCUAUGGAUGAAAGCGGGGGACCGUAAGGCCUCGCGCGAUUGGAGCGGCCGAUGUCAGAUUAGGUAGUUGGUGGGGUAAAGGCUCACCAAGCCAACGAUCUGUAGCUGGUCUGAGAGGACGACCAGCCUCACUGGGACUGGAACACGGCCCAGACUCCUACGGGAGGCAGCAGUGGGGAAUUUUGGACAAUGGGCGCAAGCCUGAUCCAGCAAUGCCGCGUGCAGGAAGAAGGCCUUCGGGUUGUAAACUGCUUUUGUACGGAACGAAAAGGUUUGGGUUAAUACCCUGGGCCGAUGACGGUACCGUAAGAAUAAGCACCGGCUAACUACGUGCCAGCAGCCGCCGUAA
RNAcentral lists this ribosomal RNA (498 nucleotides) under uncultured bacterium. RNAcentral describes it as "partial 16S ribosomal RNA". It matches the Rfam family "Bacterial small subunit ribosomal RNA", at positions 30 to 523 of the family's 1533-position model. The record is from RNAcentral.